UUAUGAUGCAAUAACUAUCUACUCUCCUCGUCGCGUGAUUUAGCGGGUGUCAAUACCUAAAGACACAUCGCCACUGAAAUCUAAUCUAACCACUACCUGAGUGAGGCACACUUGAGAUAAGUGGUAUAUUAAUAUUUGUAAUAGUGUUGUUUCUUUAAACUUAUCUUCUAGAACUACAAAACAUUAUCAAGGUUCAGCUAUAGAUCUACAGCGUUGAAAAACAAAAUCUCUAUCAACCAAGAAAGCUAUGUUCAAAAGGAAAUACAAAGACAUGAAAUGGCGACUAUACUCGUUAUUUGGUGUAAAGUGUAAAGACAAAUCGAGCGAGUCCCUGGCCAUUCAACCGUUCAAAUCAGAAGAAAAUGAAUACGUCCACCUUAAAAAGAACUUUCACCCAAAACACAAAGAAAGAUUGCGCCAGCUUCAGGACUUCAUGACUGCUAGAGUUGUCACCUUGAAGCCUGAUGAGUUUAUCCCAGUGCAUCCUGAUGGGGAUGACAGCUACGUCCAUAAAGAAGGUACAGCACGUCUGAAUCAAGGCACUUUCAACAAGAACAUUAAGAAUUAUUUUUUGGCCAGGUUGGCGCAGGAGCAGCAAGCAGACAGCAAAACGAAUGUAUUGUUGAUUUUUUUGGCCGAGCCUGGGUUUAAAACCAAGAACACUUUCCUUGAGAUAUUCCCCAAAACCUCAGACUGUAUAAGGUUUGAGACAAGCCCCAACGACUGUGAUCUUAAUAUAGGUACAUUUAAUGAUAAUUACUUGAAAUGUAAGGUACCUAUAGAACAAGUUGAAACUUGUUUAAAUGCUUUAAAAAACAAUUCUCGUCUAUGAAACUAUGUGGACCUAGUUGUGACCUACAUAUUUACCACAUUCAAUGCAGACAAAACCAUUGUCCCGAAACACUUUUCUGUAACAUUGUAUGGUAAUUUAGAACUAGCCUAUGCACUUGUAAAGUAACAAACCAUUGAUUUGGUAACUAGUCUUUGACUAUCAUUACUUCAAACUAAAACAAAAUUCAUAAAAAUGUUACAAAAUUUUGUUUGAAAAAUGAACACACAUUAAGAUUAAAGCAAAACACUCUGAAAUUUCAUUACACAUUUAUUAAAAACACAACCACAUCAUCUUGCAUCAAACGGUUUACAAAAGUACAUUUUGGAAAUGUUUUGUCUAAGUAAUUGUAUACUACUUUAAGGUUUUUCUUGCUCACCCUUAAAUUUGAUCACUUUGUUAAGGUUUGUACAUUUUUAAACAUAAGAUGUACCAUAAGUGAAAUUCCCCUUUCAAACCUUGUGGUUUAUAUGUCAUCUGUUAAUGAGGCUUUCUGUUAACGAGGGUGUCAUAAGGCAGCAAAUGACAAACUGCUUUUACUUUAACCCAGCUGAUGUCAGGUACCCAUAAGAACUGGGGGAACUCAGGAGGAGCCCUAAAGAUUGCGAAAUUAAAAAUCCAUACUUUACUAGGAUUCCCCGUGGAUCGGAAGAUAAGCGCUGAACCACUUAGCCAUGGCACCUACAAGAUGUACAUAAUUUACAUUCAUUCAAAGGAAGUCGUGGUUUCAGCUUUCUCUAAAUUUUUAUCAGUGUAUAUUAUAAUUACUUUAUAGAGAUUUAUUUCAAAACUUAAUGCCUGUUUGUUGAACCUUCUAUGCAAAUGUUCCAUUAACACUUUUUACACUCAUAGUGUUAUACUAAUGUAUUGUUUAUUAGUACUAUUACAAUCCAAAAGAGAUAUUUAAAUAAAAAUACAAAAACAAAAAGUGAAUUAUAAAAUUGGCAAAUAAAAGCUAAGUUACAGACUUCCUAAUUGUGAGUACGGAAAGACUACUAUUAAUUUACACCGAUUUUUUUUCCUAAUUUCCUUUUUAAUUUAAUUACACUGGAAAGUUAAGCCAAUUGAUUCAAUGGAAAGAUUGCUGAGAUCUAGGCAUCGGAAAAUGAUUUGUGUGAAGACAAUAAUGAAAAGAAGAUUAUGUUUAUUAAAUAUAAUUUUCUAAUAUAAAAUCCUUAGUGCAUUUUUUUUAACCUAGUCCCAAAUCAGUUCUUUCUAUUUAUCAGAAGUAUGUUUGAAAACUAUCUAUAGAGAGUGAUUGACUUCUAGUCGACUGAUUGACUUUUUAUAAAAAAGUAUUGGUCUGAGAUGACAUCCUGAAGAGGAUAGUAUCAAAGAUUCCAUUCAUUUUUAUUUAUACAAACUGUUAUUUAAGAUAUUUAUUUCAAAGCAUAUCAUUUUGUGCACAUUAAAAAGUCAAUUUCUUCUAAUUAAUUCUAUUUAAAGUUCAUAUGUGAAUUACAUUGCCUAAAUAAUAUUUUUUUGCAGGGUAUUUUUUCAAUUCAGCUUAAAUGUUGGGUUUUAAUUAAAAUGAUUUAUUUAUAUUUUUAUUUCAUUUUAUUGUUACCCUGCCAUAUUUUCUAACCAUCCUCAUAGUAACGAAUAAAAAUCACAGAAAUUCAUUUAAUUUUUUUUUAUUUUUGUUGCAUCACGCUUGACCUCACCCUCCAGAUUUCGUCAGUGGUAAUUCUGUUUAUUUUUUUAUGAUUUCCAUCUACUUUUGUCACUAAUGCUGUCGUUAAGAAGUACCCUACUGAGAAUUUGAGGUUUAAACUUUUAAAGAAGAAUCUCAGUAAAUGCAUUGAAAACUUCACUUCAAAUUUCCAUUUAUCAGCUCUUAGUACAUACACACUGUUACCUUUGUCACCACCACAGUUAUAACAAUCAAUAACAUACUGAUGUUUUUAAUAAAUAAAUACACUGAGCUAUUCAUCAGUGUUAGAUUUGACACACAGACUGAAUUAAUCAAAAGUAGAACUUGGCAUUAAUUGAACAGAUCCCAGGAUUCUCAGAUCCAUGAAAUAAAAAUAAUAUAAGUUGGAUUGGCCUCGUCACGUGAGAAGUUGCAAAGGAAUAGAUAGUAAAAUGCCACAGAGACAAGUAAUUUGAUAAUAAUAUUACAUUAAUUAUGUAUUGUAAAGCAGAUGUAAAUUUUUAAAUUCCAUUAGCAUUAUUUAUUCAAGAAGAAAACAAAGUUUUAGGGAACAUACAAAAUGGCUAAGAAGAAUAUUGUAUACAUAUACUUGCAAAUUAAAGAUUUUAGUUGAAAAAGAAAGAAUAUAUACAUAUCUUUAAUGGAUCUCAAUAAAUUAAAAGAUUUUUGGUUAAAAUAAUAAUCAACAUGAGAAUGACUUAUGUUUAAAGAAUUAAUAUAUAAUUUCAAAAAUAGUAUUUUAAUGUUACUUACUACAAGUUCAUUCUUUUAUAAAAAGUUAAAAGAUUGUAACUUAUUUUUAGGUCUUGAGAGCAUGGAAUGGUCAAUGGCUGUUUACACUUUAUAUAAUAUGUUUACAAACUUGCAAAAUUGAAAGAAAUGUAUCUCGGUAAUAUUUUAAAUAUUAGUAUCUUAAAUUCUUAAUGAUAAUAUACAGUAUUUAGAUAUUAACAAUAUGGUAUUCAGUCUUUAACCCAUUAGCUCCUUCUGCAGCUGGAAACGUUUUCCAGUUUUUGUCCUAAACCGUUUCUAAAAUCCCCUAUUCAAUAUACUUGAUUUAAACUUUAAAAAAAAAAGAUUUCUUUUAGACUCGUUGCAAGCGUGAUUACAAAUAAUUUUGGAGAUUACAGAUUCUAUUCAUAAUAAAAUUGGGAAGGUUUUUAUUUUUAAAAUAAUUUUUCAAACGAACAGGCCCAUAGCCCCAGUGUAUAAGCCCCCACGUGGGAAAAUGAGUAUUUUUGAACUUUUUUAUAAUCUAGUGGUAUUAAACGUAUAUAUUUUUUAAAACUAGACAUAUAGUUCUAUUUUUUAAAGUUAUCUGUUUGUUUAUUUGUACUAGAUCUUCAAUUUGAUUAUUUUUUGCAAAAUACAUAUUUUUUAGGAUUUUUUAAAUACGGAGUUAUCCCUCCUUGCUUAGGACUUUGAAAGGGUUUUUUUGAACCGGAAAUAGGAGCUAUUGGGUUAAAUGCUGAAUGCUAAAUGAAAACUUUCUCUGAUUCCAUGUAAUUUUUCACUUUAAUUAGUAUUUAACCUCAAUGCAGGAUUAAUAUCUCCAAUGACAUCGUAAAUAUUGUUAGAUGCUAGGAUGUUAGGCUUGAUACAAGCAUUGACAUAAACUGAAUUGUUUGGAGGAUCUGUGUCUUCCUUGGCUAUUUGGGAAGUAUUGUCUUCUAAAACAAAACAAAAAGAAAUAAUGAAUACUUUUGAUGGCACAAAUUCAAUACAUUUAUUUUAUAUGUGACACAUGACAGGGAUUCCACUAGAACAUUAUUGCAUAGUAAAAUGACAUAUAUUAAAUUUAGUGUUCUUUUUGACCAAAAUUUUUUUUUUUUUUAGUUUUACCUAAUUGCAUUUUUGUCCAUGAUUUUCAUGUGAAUACGUUUUUUUUUUUCACACACCAAUUGUGAUAGCUAACUGAUAACGACCAAUACAUUUUUUUUUGUUUGCUUUGUUAUGUGUAUUUUGUAUGGCUAUUGAAAUAGUAUUUAUGUAACAAAAACUUGUCAAAGUCUUCCAGCCGCAUUUUAGUAAGAAUUUUGUAACAUUUUAGUAAGAAUUUUGUAACAUUCGCUAUAUCAAAACUAAAAUUAUUUUUUUAACAAUUAUUAAAAUUAAACAGUAAAGUUUUAUGCUUCCAAUUAGUUUGUUUUAAAAUUUGAGAUAAGAAAAUGAACUUAAAAUUUAUUUUUAUGAUUUAAAAAAUGUUGAAAUAUAAAAGUAGUUUAUUGUCAUCCUAUUGAACACUUGUAUAAUAAUUCAUUGCCUAUGCAAAUGUCUCUUCUUAUUAAAGAAAUAUGUUUAUUGUUUCAUGAUAAAAACAAUUGAUAUUUUUUUAGCUAAUAUAUAAUUAAUGAUACUUAAAAUAAAUGAGAAAAUACUUGUCUGUAUACUUUUUUAGUCAAAGAUUGAUUACCUGUAAAGAAAUCCUUUAUUUAUUUAAUAUAUUUCUUAAUAUAAUUAAAUGGAUUUUUUUUUGUUGUUUCAACAAUUUUUCUGAAAUUAUUAUUUCAAUGGACUAUCUAUAUAUCUAGAAAACUAGAAAUAAGAUCUCACCAUUGUUGUUUACUGUUUCAAGUUGCACAUUUUGCGGGAAUGAAUUGUAAUCAUUGACCAUCACAUCUUCAAAUAUUAUACUGCGGCUCCUUCCUCUAGUAGAUCUAGUUGCUGAAAGUUCACUUGCUGUACUGUCUUUAGGACUGGACAAGAAGAAUAACCACAUUAAAAUAUUAUAAAAUUAUUGUUACUCAUAAUGUUUAACAGAUUCUAUAUAAGUUAAUCGUCAAUAAAAUUAGUCUGAUUGGAAUAAAUUUAAGACACUAUAUUUGUAGUCUAUGAAAAUUUUCUAAGGCAGAAUAAUAUGAGAGUACAUAAGCAAAAGUUUUAAAAAAAAGAAGAGCAUAAAAACAAAAAAAAACAAACAUUGAUAGCUAUUGUGGAGGAAUUUCCGCUAAAAGUACUAGAAAGCCAUUGUCACAUCAUUGUUUGUGACAUGAAGCAGUGUGAAUCACCGAGUAUAACUUAUUGUUGUGUUUCACGUGAGAGACAAGAAUUCACAAGUUGAAUUGUGGGUUGUUAAUCAUAUAGUCAAUUAGUAGACCCAAGAAGUAGAAGACAGACAUGUCUUGUUUUUAAGAUGAAAGUAUUAUUAGCUAUGUAUUUGAUGAAUUUAUUUGGAUUACACUAUUUUUUAUGUGAAAGAUUCUACGGAUUUCUUGAUGGCUGAAGUUGCCAAUAUAUUGUAAACCGUUUAUUUAUCAUAAUAAAAGUGUCAUCUGCUA
Biomphalaria glabrata is the source of this 5761-nucleotide long non-coding RNA. RefSeq lists it as uncharacterized. Lineage: Eukaryota; Metazoa; Mollusca; Gastropoda; Planorbidae. The record is from RefSeq and is a predicted model, not a curated record. The transcript is spliced from 3 exons.